RNAcentral lists this long non-coding RNA (560 nucleotides) under Dromaius novaehollandiae (emu). RNAcentral's name for it is "lncRNA (ENSDNVG00000015159.1)". Lineage: Eukaryota; Metazoa; Chordata; Aves; Casuariiformes; Dromaiidae. The record is from RNAcentral.
GUCCGUGCAGUUAGACUGCCCUCAACCGUGGUUAGUCUCGUCUUUCGAGGGGAUAACAGGCAGCAGAGUGUGAGCUGAAGCACCUUUUUUGGAGCACCUUGACCAAAAUAGCAUGAAGAAUGAGAAAGCUCUUCCUCUAAAGUUUGUAAUGCAUUUAAAUGUCUCUGCCUUUGCUGAGAUCAAGCAGACAUUCUAAACUGGGUAAACAAGAAAAAUAUGAAUUGUCAAUGAAUCAAGUUGGAGACAUUUCAAGCAAAUCUCUGAGAGAAUCAAUAUUAUGUCAAGGUUUAUUCCAUAUCUUCAUUAAUGAUCCAGAAAUACAGCGAGCAUCAGAGAAGACUGACAUAUAAAACAAAGGCAUUGAGAAGGUGUGAUUAACAUUUAAACACAAUAGUUGUUGCCAUAAGAAWUAUGUCAAGUUGCUGGAUGAUCCUCACCAGUUUUUCUGAUAGAGCUCUUCCUUAUGGAGCAAAAGAUGCUGGAGCACUUCAUUUCCUUGAGAAGAACUGCUGUGCCCGGAAACCCAAACAACGAGGCUGCGCCACAGAAACUGUCUCAUG